GUUGCUAUCCUAAAGGCUAGAUGCUUGGUCAUGUGACUGCUGGCUGUUUCAAUAAAAAUGAAUUUAUUCUGUUGCAAUAUGCUAUUUUCUUUUUAUUCUUCUUAGGUGUGCAUUUAAUGCUGAAGUGCUUGCAACCUUCAGUAAAACACCGUUUAUUGAAAAAUAGACUUUUAUAGCACCAUUUGGCAGCUACCAGUGACUUUUGAUCUGCUCCAGCAGCAAAAGGAGAGAGACUAUAUUGGUGAGAUCAAAUACAGAACAAGGUGUAUUGCAGUAUUCUCUGAAGCAAUUGGUUUUUGUUUUUGAAAGGGUACAGUUACUGGGGAACUCUGAUUGUGUAUAUGCCUGAGUUCCACAAUGGUCUGUUUUUCUGCAGUGCUCUCUGUGCUAUAGCCUGAGAUACUGCAGCUGUUUUUAAGGUCAUUUCCUUUUAUUUUAAAUAAUUGUUCAUUUAACAUAUGUCGUUAAACUCAUUCUUGCGUCAAAAGGAGGCGAUUAUACUUCCUGACCCUGAAAGCAAGUGCCUUGGAUUUUCUUCUGAAACCCCCAGAGAGGACUGAGGAAGCAAGUGUGGAGUCCCACUGCCAGAGAGAGUGAAGAAAUGGAGGUGCUGUGGAAACAGAACAGAAGCCCAUGCUUCAGCCAGGACUGCAAUGGCCUCCUCCCGUGGGAGUAACAGCUGCAUAAAUAGGAGGGAAAUCCUCAGUGGAAUUGCUUCCAACACCUUUCUAAUGGAAAUAAUGAUUUGCAAAACCCAAUUUAUGCCUCUGCCACAUAAUUAGUAGCCAAAAGAGCUAAAGAUUAAAAACACUGUUCCAAGUCCCAGCAUCUUUGAAUUUGGCAAGACCUUAAAUAUUGCACUCUGUGUUCCAAACAGGUUGCCUAUAUGUGAGCAUUGCAAGGAAAGUCUUAGUCAGUUGAAUCAAGCCCUUGAAUCAGUCAACACUUAUUAUGUGGAAAUUAACCAGUUUGAUGUCAAUUAGUGGAAAUUUGUUAGCAGGCAUACCCUGUGGGACAGUUUAUUUUGAAUUCCGAAUACUCUUUACUGAAGCCAGCUAAGAUAGUUGGUGUGGUCCCUGACUCCUUCUUUAAAAAUCAGAGUAGAAUUACUUAAGAAACAGCUAAGAAACACAGAGAGAAAAGGCUACAUCGAAACUCAAAACCUACCUCUCCAAAAUAUCCGUUGUUGAAUGGGCAUAAGUGCAAGGAAAUCAAGAUCUGAUUUUCUGUUUUAACAAGGAACAGAAGUAUUAGAUGCCUGUUCUGUAUUUGUCAAUAUUGAGCGCUGGAUGGGAAAGUCAGUUGUUCUAACGACAAUGCUCAAAAUUAGCCACAUGCUCACCUUAAACAUUUUCCAUCUAUAAAGCUGGUGUUACUUUCCUAUCAUGUUGCUCACAUCAGAUGCACCAAGAUGAAGAACAGUGACAACACAGUUGUUCACCCAUAACCCCAGGACAUCAGGCAAACUGACAGUGUGUCGUUACAAAGAGGUGGAAUUAAUCAAAGAAAGCAUCAUUCCAGGAAUGGGGGGUGUUAUGGUACAGGGAAGAUGAAUUGGCUGUGAUGUCAGAAUCCUGAGGAGCAGCAAAGAUGGAUCAGAUACUACACAACUUACCCAGAAAGACUGGCAUGUGGCAUCAUUCUGAAUGAAGUCCAGGAAAUAAUGCUUCUAGAAAUUAUGCUUCCUGAAGUGAAGUCACAGCAUUUGACAACUCUGAUUGUCAGGAACGAUGAUAUCUAGUCCCAGAAGUACCACUUCCUUUCAUUCAGAGUCCUGGCAUACGUACUGGCAGAACAGCAAGUUGGAAGGCUGAAAAACCCAACCAUAUCUCAUCUAAGGAACAUACAGUUUACCAUACCAGAUUGGACCAAUUAUCCAUCAAGACUGGAGUUCUGUCUUGCUAAUGGACUAUGUUUGAUGCUCCGAAAGAAAAACAGCUGGCCAAUUAUGCAGGGUUCGCCAUGGUGGAAAGGGUGGGAGGGUUACUUCAUAUCUCUAUGGUAAUCAUCACCCUGAAUUAUGCAGUUUGAUUGCCCCAUUCUAGCAAGUAAAGCUACAAAUGUUAUUACUGGUCAUAAAAUUAUGUAGCCCUUUAAAAAUCCUGCUACAGUAUUUAACUCUUUGCCCUCCACAGUUUAACUGCUGUAUAAAAUAGUAUUUAAAGUAAAGCUGAAAUUAAUUUGUCAAUGGCAAGCCAUACCUUUGGUUUUACUCAUUUGCUUACCACUAAAGACUAUUUACUUCCAAAAAAGGCUACAUUUCUCUGUCUUGUGUAUGAGAGACUUUUGCAAAUCCAAGACUGAGGCAUCUGGCUAGGGCCAGAAAGAGCAUGCAGUACACCAUGCAGGCUCUCCAAACCACUCUGCCUAUGUACCUCAAUGCUAACUUGCUGUACCUGUGAUCUGCUUGUUACUAAGCCUGUCCAGUUCAAAUAAUAAGUAUUAAGCAAAUACCACUGAUAGUUUUGGGAUACGAACGAGGGCCCACUGAAUACAGAAAUGAGGCAAUCAAACUCACUUCAUGUACCUGACCAUUGAACUCAGGACUCUCUGUUAAUGCUUUAAUUUUGUCCCACUAAGCUUUUCUGAAAAUUGUUUAAAUAAGCUUCCUUUACAGAAAGAGAAAGCAUGAUGGGAGAAGGAACAACAUCUUUAAUUAGAAAAAUUCAAAUCAGCUCUUAAUUUAAUUCACCACACCAGCAGCCAUGAUUAGAUCUGCAUCAUGAUAUAUCUCCAAUACAAUCAAUUUUCAUAAAUGCAAACUUUCCUGAAUAUGGUUCUGAUGUAUACUGACAUUUUAAAAUAUGUCCUAUUGUCCUUUUCUGUGCAGCAGACCAAGCACAGAGUGUUCAGUCCUAUAUCACUGUCACAGUGGUAUUAGACCAGAUGGCUGCUUCCUUGCAGAAUCAAGAAUUAGAGAUAAUUUAUGCUGUUCACUGUUAUUAAAAUGUAGAAAUAUAAGGAGUCUGUAGCAUCCAUACAUGAAAAGUAGCUCAGAUCCAUCAGCAAUACACUGGUGAAAAGGCUCUUUAUACUGCUACCACACUCUUAAGAAUAAAGUUUCAUUCCAUGGAGCUGUGGGCAUCUAUUAGGCCAGCUGACUGUUUCUUUUGCACAUGACAUGUUGUAGGGCUAAACUGAUCUAGGAUACAGGGUUACUUUGUUGGGAAAGGUUUCAGAGUAACAGCCGUGUUAGUCUGU
This is a long non-coding RNA of Caretta caretta (loggerhead turtle), 3201 nucleotides long. RefSeq lists it as uncharacterized. The record is from RefSeq and is a predicted model, not a curated record. NCBI's taxonomy places the organism in Eukaryota, Metazoa, Chordata, Testudines, Cheloniidae.